GGUUAAGCGACUAAGCGUACACGGUGGAUGCCCUGGCAGUCAGAGGCGAUGAAGGACGUGCUAAUCUGCGAUAAGCGUCGGUAAGGUGAUAUGAACCGUUAUAA
RNAcentral lists this ribosomal RNA (104 nucleotides) under Citrobacter freundii. RNAcentral describes it as "partial 23S ribosomal RNA". It matches the Rfam family "Bacterial large subunit ribosomal RNA", at positions 1 to 103 of the family's 2925-position model. RNAcentral also lists the same sequence under 4 other names. The record is from RNAcentral. Lineage: Bacteria; Pseudomonadati; Pseudomonadota; Gammaproteobacteria; Enterobacterales; Enterobacteriaceae.